ACUUAAAGGAAUUGGCGGGGGAGCACCGCAACGGGAGGAGCGUGCGGUUCAAUUGGAUUCAACGCCGAAAAACUCACCAGGAGCGACGGAUAUAUGAAGGUCAAGCUGAUGACUUUACCUGAUUUUCCGAGAGGUGGUGCAUGGCCGUCGUCAGCUCGUACCGUAAGGCGUUCUCUUAAGUGAGAUAACGAACGAGACCCUCACCAUUAAUUGCUAGUCCCUUCUCCGGAGGGGGCGCACAUUAAUGGGACCGCUGGCGCUAAGUCAGAGGAAGGAGAGGUCAACGGUAGGUCCGUAUGCCCCGAAUCCCCUGGGCAACACGCGCGCUACAAAGGGUGGGACAAUGGGCUUCGACACCGAAAGGUGAAGACAAUCCUGAAACCCAUCCAUAGUUCGG
RNAcentral lists this ribosomal RNA (397 nucleotides) under uncultured archaeon. RNAcentral describes it as "bacterial SSU rRNA". It matches the Rfam family "Archaeal small subunit ribosomal RNA", at positions 854 to 1252 of the family's 1478-position model. The record is from RNAcentral.